CCUACGGGUGGCAGCAGUGAGGAAUAUUGGUCAAUGGGCUUAUGCCUGAACCAGCCAAGUCGCGUGAGGGAAGACUGCCCUAUGGGUUGUAAACCUCUUUUGUCAGGGAGCAACGCCGGCUACGUGUAGCCGGACUGAGAGUACCUGAAGAAAAAGCAUCGGCUAACUCCGUGCCAGCAGCCGCGGUAAUACGGGGGAUGCGAGCGUUAUCCGGAUUUAUUGGGUUUAAAGGGUGCGUAGGCGGAAUGCCAAGUCAGCGGUAAAAUCGCGGGGCUCAACCUCGCUCCGCCGUUGAAACUGGCGUUCUGGAGUGGGCGAGAAGUAGGCGGAAUGCGUGGUGUGGCGGUGAAAUGCAUAGAUAUCACGCAGAACUCCGAUUGCGAAGGCAGCAUACCGGCGCCCAACUGACGCUGAAGCACGAAAGCGUGGGUAGCGAACAGGAUUAGAUACCCUAGUAGUC
Molecule: ribosomal RNA, 460 nt
Filed under: uncultured bacterium
Lineage: Bacteria
Description: partial 16S ribosomal RNA
Rfam family: Bacterial small subunit ribosomal RNA
Source: RNAcentral